RNAcentral lists this ribosomal RNA (497 nucleotides) under uncultured bacterium. RNAcentral describes it as "partial 16S ribosomal RNA". It matches the Rfam family "Bacterial small subunit ribosomal RNA", at positions 28 to 507 of the family's 1533-position model. The record is from RNAcentral.
GAUGAACGCUGGCGGCGUGCCUAAUACAUGCAAGUCGAGCGAACGGACGAGAAGCUUGCUUCUCUGAUGUUAGCGGCGGACGGGUGAGUAACACGUGGAUAACCUACCUAUAAGACUGGGAUAACUUCGGGAAACCGGAGCUAAUACCGGAUAAUAUUUUGAACCGCAUGGUUCAAAAGUGAAAGACGGUCUUGCUGUCACUUAUAGAUGGAUCCGCGCUGCAUUAGCUAGUUGGUAAGGUAACGGCUUACCAAGGCAACGAUGCAUAGCCGACCUGAGAGGGUGAUCGGCCACACUGGAACUGAGACACGUUCCAGACUCCUACGGGAGGCAGCAGUAGGGAAUCUUCCGCAAUGGGCGAAAGCCUGACGGAGCAACGCCGCGUGAGUGAUGAAGGUCCUCGGAUCGUAAAACUCUGUUAUUAGGGAAGAACAUAUGUGUAAGUAACUGUGCACAUCUUGACGGUACCUAAUCAGAAAGCCACGGCUAACUACGUG